UACGUAGGGUGCAAGCGUUGUCCGGAAUUAUUGGGCGUAAAGAGCUCGUAGGCGGCUUGUCACGUCGGGUGUGAAAGCCCGGGGCUUAACCCCGGGUCUGCAUUCGAGUACGGGCUGGCGUAGAGUGUGGUAGGGGAGAUCGAAUUCCUGGUGUAGCGGUGAAAUGCGCAGAUAUCAGGAGGAACACCGGUGGCGAAGGCGGAUCUCUGGGCCAUUACUGACGCUGAGGAGCGAAAGCGUGGGGAGCGAACAGG
RNAcentral lists this ribosomal RNA (254 nucleotides) under uncultured bacterium. Its description in RNAcentral is "partial 16S ribosomal RNA". It matches the Rfam family "Bacterial small subunit ribosomal RNA", at positions 524 to 776 of the family's 1533-position model. The record is from RNAcentral.